GUGCCAGCAGCCGCGGUAAUACGUAGGGCGCAAGCGUUAUCCGGAAUUAUUGGGCGUAAAGAGCUCGUAGGCGGUUUGUCGCGUCUGCUGUGAAAUCUGGGGGCUCAACCCCCAGCCUGCAGUGGGUACGGGCAGACUAGAGUGCGGUAGGGGAGAUUGGAAUUCCUGGUGUAGCGGUGGAAUGCGCAGAUAUCAGGAGGAACACCGAUGGCGAAGGCAGAUCUCUGGGCCGUAACUGACGCUGAGGAGCGAAAGGGUGGGGAGCAAACAGGCUUAGAUACCCUGGUAGUCC
RNAcentral lists this ribosomal RNA (292 nucleotides) under uncultured bacterium. Its description in RNAcentral is "partial 16S ribosomal RNA". It matches the Rfam family "Bacterial small subunit ribosomal RNA", at positions 505 to 796 of the family's 1533-position model. The record is from RNAcentral.